RNAcentral lists this ribosomal RNA (117 nucleotides) under Candidatus Gottesmanbacteria bacterium RIFCSPHIGHO2_01_FULL_40_15. Lineage: Bacteria; Candidatus Gottesmaniibacteriota. The record is from RNAcentral. RNAcentral also lists the same sequence under 3 other names.
UUCGGUCUUUGGAGCGGAGUGGAACUACCUUUUCCCAUUCCGAACAGAGAAGUAAAACACUCCAGCGCCGACGAUAGUAAUUCCGCAAGGAACUGCGAAAAUAGGCCAAGGCCGAAG